GUCUAUGACCAUAUAACCCUGGAGGCACCUGAUCUUGUCUAAUUAAUCUCCAAAGCUAAGCAUGGUUUUGGCCUGGUUAGUACUCUGGGAGAUAAUUUGGAGAAGGGUACAGUGUAUGUG
Cricetulus griseus (Chinese hamster) is the source of this 120-nucleotide ribosomal RNA. The record is from Ensembl. Lineage: Eukaryota; Metazoa; Chordata; Mammalia; Rodentia; Cricetidae.